GGGGAUGUAAUGGUUUCGACGGGAAUUUUGAAAGUAGGGAUAGCCAUCUGCAGUCUCGGUAACUGCAUAUCAAACCGAAAACUUUAAAAAGAAAAGACAAAGAUUAUACUUUAAUGGCAGCCUAAGUGCUGCUCGUCAGCCUCUAGUCUAUCACCGCUAGAGGGUCUGGCGUCGACAGGUGAUGCACUUUCUGUUGUAAGCUUUGCCAACAGAAAAGAUUUAUGAAGCUACUGAAGAAUAUAGCCUGCUCUUCGGCGAUAUUCUGAAGGAAUGUCAAAAGAAAAGCUGUGAUGGGAGAAGUCCUUAUGGAGAGGUUUUCGGACAGGGGUUCAAUUCCCCUCAUCUCCAUAA
Molecule: non-coding RNA, 351 nt
Organism: Clostridium sp.
Lineage: Bacteria; Bacillati; Bacillota; Clostridia; Eubacteriales; Clostridiaceae
Source: Rfam